UCGGUUCGGAAUAACCAAGGGAAACUUUGGCUAAUACCGGAUACGUGCGAGAGCAGAAAGAUUUAUCGCCGAUGGAUCGGCCCGCGUCCGAUUAGCUAGUUGGUGAGGUAACGGCUCACCAAGGCGACGAUCGGUAGCUGGUCUGAGAGGAUGAUCAGCCACACUGGGACUGAGACACGGCCCAGACUCCUACGGGAGGCAGCAGUGGGGAAUAUUGGACAAUGGGCGCAAGCCUGAUCCAGCCAUGCCGCGUGAGUGAUGAAGGCCUUAGGGUUGUAAAGCUCUUUCGCACGCGACGAUAAUGACGGUAGCGUGAGAAGAAGCCCCGGCUAACUUCGUGCCAGCAGCCGCGGUAAUACGAAGGGGGCUAGCGUUGCUCGGAAUCACUGGGCGUAAAGGGCGCGUAGGCGGAUCUUUAAGUCGGGGGUGAAAGCCCAGGGCUCAACCCUGGAAUUGCCUCCGAUACUGGGGAUCUAGAGACCGGAAGAGGUGAGUGGAACUGCGAGUGUAGAGGUGAAAUUCGUAGAUAUUCGCAAGAACACCAGUGGCGAAGGCGGCUCACUGGUCCGGAUCUGACGCUGAGGCGCGAAAGCGUGGGGA
RNAcentral lists this ribosomal RNA (600 nucleotides) under Salinarimonas rosea. RNAcentral describes it as "bacterial SSU rRNA". It matches the Rfam family "Bacterial small subunit ribosomal RNA", at positions 133 to 767 of the family's 1533-position model. The record is from RNAcentral. Lineage: Bacteria; Pseudomonadati; Pseudomonadota; Alphaproteobacteria; Hyphomicrobiales; Salinarimonadaceae.